UAUUGUUAAAUUAUGAUCGAGACACUGGCUGAAAAUGAAAAUAAAAAGAGACUCUUAAAUAUGCUAGUAUUCUACUUAAUAUUAUGUGAAUGCAGUUGGUAAUUCUUUUACUAGUCAAAUGGUUGAUAGAUGUUGUGUUUGAAGUUACUCCAUCAGGUCACACAAGCUGGCGGUUCACACGGGCUGGUGGUUUGACGCGGGUUGAACGGGUUGGAACGGUUUUGACGUGCCGGUUUUUGACGGUUUGCGAAUCGAAGAUUUAGGAACCGUAACCGGUUCGUCGGCAACCACGGUUCGUGCCGGUUCGGGCCGGUUCGAACCGGCACGUUAAAAUACGGGCUAAAUGACGGUUCGGUCCAGUUCGGGCCGAGCCAAACCGCCCGAAUGGCCGGCUCUAGUACACUCUGAUGUUCUCCUGUUUUAUAUAUAUGCAUAAUGUUGUCUAAUUAAAUUAGAUUCAUGGCAUCUGUAGACAUGAUACACGGUGUUGUCUAAUUAAUUUGCCUAUCUUUCAUUGCAGGUUAAACUUUUGUUGAUAAAGUGUUUGAUGAUUUGCCCAAAAGAACAAAUAUGGCCGUUUCAUUUAGCUAAACAAGCUUUUGAUGAGGCAAUUGCAGAGUUCGACACCUUGAGAGUCCUACAAGGACAGCACCUUAAUGGAAACAUGCACUACUCAUUUAGGAGUAGAUUCUGAUCGGUUCUAUGUGAUCUCUACUCAUUUAGGAGCAACCGAACACAUGCACUCCAAUGGACAUGCUUCUGCAUUGGAUCCAGGCAAUAUGUGAAAAUUACAACCGGAAGGUUGAUAACUUUGCUUCAAUUUGCUGAUGGAAGAGCCAUGUGGUGCUUGCUGGAUUAUUACUUUCACAGUGAUAAUCAUUUGGCAUGUUCGUUCAAGAUUAGUAAGGAUAUGUACGAGGAAGACAAUGGAACUAUUGCAGAAGCAUCUAUAAUGUCCACAACCAACUAUACAGAUGCAGUGCACAAUUUUCUAAUGUCGCAGAAAUUGACAACAUUAUUGGGGAAGUUCCGAGUGUUUUCGAGCCUUACAAGGAUGGGAUAGUUGAUCUCCUUGGUCCCAAACUACUCUACAUUGCGUUUAAUUUGGCCGCUCUAGCACGUGGCGUCUGGAAACUCAAUACUUUUGGUCUUCUUCCAACCCAUGCAUCAGACUGGGUGUCAUCUUUACCUCCUGCCCAGCUGCAAGGGGUCACAAUGGACAAAGGAUCAUUUUUGAUGAUUACAGCAAAGCAUAUUUUUGGUUGCGGCAGAAUACUCCUCAGGGUGCCAAGGUGAUGUCCUGGUGGGAGUCGUGGGACUACGGAUAUCAGAUCACUGCGAUUGCGAUUGCGAUGGGGAACAGAACUGUGAUUGUGGACAAUAACACCUGGAACAAUACCCACAUAGCUCAGUUCGAACUUGGACGUGCAAUGUCAUCUUAUGAGGAUGAAGCAUAUGAGAUAAUAAGAUCACUAGAUGUUGAUUAUGUAUUAGUUGUUUUUGGAGGUGUUAGGGGUUACUCUUCUGAUGGUAUUAACAAGUAAGCACUAAAUUUAUUUUUUUUCUGAUUCUUAAUUUUCGAAUAAGAUACUAAUCUAUGUUGUUCAUCUUUAGAUGCCAAUCUCUGUUCCAGAUAGUACCAUCUAUCUAUAUAAUAGUUUUUGAUGCGUGAAAUGUACAGUAAGUGACCUGGACAAGUAAUUGACCCCAGCCUUCCUUCUAAUUGCAAUGCCGCCGCUGUCAAUGUGAUUGUUAUUUUCCAGUUUAGACUCCCGUUCAUAAAGUGUUUGCUGAUUUGCCCGGCCACCAUAAAAGGCAACAUAGGAAGCACGCCUGAUGCACCUUUUGUCAAGAGACACCGAGUAAGCAAGGCAGGCAAGCUGACCGGAUUUUUUUUAGAUCCUGAUCAAGUCCAAUACCCAAAAUACACGCAGAAGGGAAGGUUUCUACCAAUCAGAUACACAUAACAUCUGAAAAUGGAACCUCCAGAUUGCAAUAUACAAAAGAUGAUG
Long non-coding RNA from Daucus carota subsp. sativus, 2012 nucleotides. RefSeq lists it as uncharacterized. Lineage: Eukaryota; Viridiplantae; Streptophyta; Magnoliopsida; Apiales; Apiaceae. The record is from RefSeq and is a predicted model, not a curated record. The transcript is spliced from 8 exons.